GAUGAACGCUGGCGGCGUGCCUAAUACAUGCAAGUCGAGCGGACGGAUGAGAAGCUUGCUUCUCUGAUGUUAGCGGCGGACGGGUGAGUAACACGUGGAUAACCUACCUAUAAGACUGGGAUAACUUCGGGAAACCGGAGCUAAUACCGGAUAAUAUUUUGAACCGCAUGGUUCAAAAGCGAAAGACGGUCUUGCUGUCACUUAUAGAUGGAUCCGCGCUGCAUUAGCUAGUUGGUAAGGUAACGGCUUACCAAGGCAACGAUGCAUAGCCGACCUGAGAGGGUGAUCGGCCACACUGGAACUGAGACACGGUCCAGACUCCUACGGGAGGCAGCAGUAGGGAAUCUUCCGCAAUGGGCGAAAGCCUGACGGAGCAACGCCGCGUGAGUGAUGAAGGUCUUCGGAUCGUAAAACUCUGUUAUUAGGGAAGAACAUAUGUGUAAGUAACUGUGCACAUCUUGACGGUACCUAAUCAGAAAGCCACGGCUAACUACGUG
This 497-nucleotide ribosomal RNA is filed under the name uncultured bacterium. RNAcentral's name for it is "partial 16S ribosomal RNA". It matches the Rfam family "Bacterial small subunit ribosomal RNA", at positions 28 to 507 of the family's 1533-position model. The record is from RNAcentral.